UCAAUUUGAAUUUUUUAAGCCCGGUUAGUAGUAGUUAUUUACUUAAAAACUAAAAGAUUUGGCGGUAGUUUAAUCCAUUCAGAGGAAUUUGUUUUUUAAUCGAUAAACCACGAAGUAUCAAUUCUAGAGAAGAUUAGUUUGUAUACCAUCAUUAUAAGGUAAUUUCAACAGAAAAAAUUGCUUAAAUUAAGUAAUAAAAGCUUAAGAAAAUUAGAUCAUGGUGCAGCUUAUGAAUAAGUUAAAAUGAAUUACAAUAAAUUUUUUUAGACGGAUUUACAGGGUAAGCACUGUAAUGAAGGAGGAUUUGAUUGUAUUUUAAGUUUAAUAAGCUUACAAGACAGAGGCUCUAAAUUAUGUACAUAUCGCCCUCGCUGUCAUUU
RNAcentral lists this ribosomal RNA (380 nucleotides) under Cranuca inversa. Its description in RNAcentral is "partial 12S ribosomal RNA". The record is from RNAcentral. Lineage: Eukaryota; Metazoa; Arthropoda; Malacostraca; Decapoda; Ocypodidae.